AGGGAAAGAGAGGUCACACGGAUUCCGGGGCGGCCUUUGGAGGUGACCUCUGGGUUGAGCUGAAGUUUUGAAGCACAAAGCUGCAGAGCUGAGGUGAUCUCUGCAGAGAGGCAGCGAAUGGAGAGGUGGUGAUCCCAGGAGCACAACCCUAGUAACAGUCUGGCAGGCUCGCCUCGGCCUCCCGGAAGUGCUGCACCCAGGAAGCCCGCAGAGCCACCCGGAGCCGCCAGUACAGGGCAACUCUUGGGUUUCUGGAUCAAC
Prionailurus viverrinus (fishing cat) is the source of this 261-nucleotide long non-coding RNA. RefSeq lists it as uncharacterized. The record is from RefSeq and is a predicted model, not a curated record. NCBI's taxonomy places the organism in Eukaryota, Metazoa, Chordata, Mammalia, Carnivora, Felidae. The transcript is spliced from 3 exons.